AUCUUGAAAAUUAAAGAAUUUGGCGGUAUUUUAGUCUAUUUAAAGAGAACCUGUCCUGUAAUUGAUGAUCCACGAUUUUUUCUACUUAUCUUAGAAGUUUACAUAUCGCUGUGGGUUGAAUAUUUUUAAAAAAGGACAAUAUUCAAUAGUUUUUAUAAAAAAGUAAUUCAGGUCAAGAUGUAGUUUAUAGAUAAGAAGAGAUGGGUUACAAUAAAUUUAUUUAUAAUGGAUUAAUAAAUGUAAUUUUGUUAUGAAGGUGGAUUUAAAAGUAAUUUUAUUUAAAUUUAUAUGAUGAUUUUAGCUCUAAAAUAUGCACAUAUCGCCCGUCGCUUUCAUUAUAAAAUGGAAUAAGUCGUAACAAAGUAGAGGUACUGGAAAGUGUCUCUAGAAAGAUCAAGUUAGAGCUUGUUAAAGCAUUUUAGUUACAUUAAAAAGUUUAUUGUAAAUUCAAUAUAAUUUGAAUGUAAAUUUUUAUUAUUUAAGUUUAGUUAUAAAAAGAUUUAUAUAAAUAUAUUAAGUUUUUAUUAAUUUUUUUUGAACAAAUAAUUUUUAUUAUAGAGAAUUAGUAUUGUAAAAGAAUAAUUUUUUAUUUAAAAAAGAAGAAUUUAUUUUUUGUACCUUGGGUAUCAGGGUUUAUCAAAUUUUUAUUAAAAAUUUAAUAUUCUCGAAUUAAUAAGAGUUAUAGCUAUAUAAUUAUUUUUGUAGAAUAAAAAUUAUUAAUAUAGUUAUAGAAGUGAAAUGCUAUUCGAUUAUUAAUAUAUCUAGUUUUUAAAGAAAAAAAUUUAAUUUUUUUAUUAAUUAAUAUGAAAUUAAAUUUUUAAUUUUGUAUUUAUUAAUAUUUUAUACUUUAAGGGAUGAGCUUUAAAGUAAAUUUUUUUAAGAUAUUAACUAAAGAAGAUUUAAUUAAGUAGAAUUAUAAGUUUUUAGCUUUAAAAGUGUGUUGUAACUAUUUUAAGAUAAAGUAAAAUUUAUAUAAGUAUUUUGAAAUUUUUUAUUUAAAUAAAAAUUUUAAUUUAGUAAAAUUUUGUAAUAAUGAUUAAAUUAGUAUAAAUUUAUGUUUAAUAAAAUUUUUAUUUUAGGUUAAAUAAAGGAAUUCGGCAAAUAUAUUUUUCACCUGUUUAUUAAAAACAUGGCUUUUUGAGAAUAAUUUAAGGUCUAACCUGCCCAAUGAAAAUUUAAAUGGCCGCGGUAUUUUGACCGUGCAAAGGUAGCAUAAUCAUUAGUUUUUUAAUUGAAAGCUGGAAUGAAGGGUUGGAUGAAAAAAUUUCUGUCUCUAUUUAAAUUGUUUAGAAUUUUAUUUUUAAGUAAAAAAGCUUAAAUUAAAAUAGAAGACGAGAAGACCCUAUAGAGUUUUAUUUAUUUUUUAUUUAAAUUUUUUAGGAUUAAU
RNAcentral lists this ribosomal RNA (1387 nucleotides) under Merimnetes sp. NLG-2014. RNAcentral's name for it is "partial 16S ribosomal RNA". The stretch from base 1 to 395 matches the Rfam family "Microsporidia small subunit ribosomal RNA", at positions 768 to 1311 of the family's 1311-position model. The record is from RNAcentral. Lineage: Eukaryota; Metazoa; Arthropoda; Insecta; Coleoptera; Curculionidae.